AUUUACUUUUGGAAUUGAUCAAUAAUUGUGGCUUGUUUUCUCAUUCAUUAAUUUCUGCUUCAAUCUUUCCUUAAUUCUUUUCUCAGAGUUUAAUUUUUAAAGAAGUAUUACUUCAUUUAUUUUUAUUAUUUCACAUUCAUUGUUCUGCUAAUCAAUGUUCCUAAACUUGGUCUGGUUUCAAAUGACUGUGGGGUAUUUCUAAAAAUUAAAUACACUCUCAAAAGAGAAAGAUUUGCUAUUCCUGAUGAUGUCCUUUAAAAGAAUGUGAUUCAGUGUCUUAUAGAACUCUAAGAAUUCUAAAAAUGUUUAGUGACAAGUGCAGUAAGCUUAUGACCUAUUCUGAGAGGGCCAAGAUCUAUAAAACCUAUACAUUUGCUAGAAUGUUAUCUGCCUUCAUGUACUUGAAAAGAAUCAAGGGCUAGGAGUUAAAGGAAAGUCUCACAUUUGCCUAAUGGGAUGCCCUCUAAUAUCACGUCUAUAAGUCAAGAUAUUUCAAAAUGCUUUUUCUUUAUGUGAAAAUGCACUUAAAUACAUUUUGAACACAGCCUGGCUUCAUGAUUGCUUGUGAUUGAAAUUAACCCUAGACAAAACAUUGUUCAAAGGCAAAGAUGAAAAAAUGCUCAUUUGAUAGGAUGACAAAGUUUUCCCUGCAAAAAUCAAUGAUGCAGAUAAGAGAGAACAUGUUUUUAAAAAUAAUUUUUACAUGCUAUGAAACACCGGAUUAUACACAAUAAAAAUGUCUUUAGUAAAAAAAAAAAAUUGCUGAUAGUAAGGUAGAUUUGCAGGUGUGACCUUUGCCAACAUAUGUAGAUUAUCAUCAGAUCCACAUGUUUGUAGAAUUAUGUAACAGUGUUUAAGUGGCCAGGAAAGGGAGGAUUUUGUGGUCAAGAAAGUGGAAAUGUCCUAUUUAACAUAUGACCCUGGCCAGUCUCAUCUCAAAUUACUGUUGCUCAAGUUACAGAUGGUUAGCAAGCCAAGUGGGAGGGAAGAGAAAGGGCUGACAAACCUACAGUUAACAUGAGGCCACAAAGCCAGUGGCUGUUAUCAUUAAAAAUACAAACUUACUCAAGUCUUCCAUAUUUAAAGUAGCAAAGAAAAAAACUGUCUUGCACUGCAUUCUGGACCAGAAGACGUUGCUAUAAAUGGGUUUAACAUAUCCUUCCCUAAUAAUUAGGUUUUAGGAAAGAUAGAACAUAGUUUUAUGAAUGAACUGAAAAAACAUAUAAUUAGACCACCUUUCCCAGCUGACAGCUUUAUGAUCAUGAUUGAAAAGCAGUUUUUUCCUUUUGCACUUAUUUGCAUCUCAGGUUUUUUAAGCUUCCAAAUGUUUAAAACAUACAAGUGCCUGUGCUCUAGGAAUUUACUCUUGAGAGAAAACACCAUUAAGUGGAAAAAAAAUUUUAUCUCUACUAACACAAAAGCAAGUAUACAUAAAUUUAUGUAUUUAGUAUUGGUUUCAACCGAUUACCUUGUAAAGCAGUUCAGGGCUAACAGAGUACGUCAGAGUCAAAAAUAAUCCUAAUGUUGUUUGCUAUUAUGGCUGUGAAAAUUUUAGUCAAGUACAGACUGAAAGCCCAAAGGAUGCUAAAGGAUUAUCUAGAAAGCAGAGCCUCAAGCCAAGUUUAAGUGCUAAGAUUUUAUUAGGAGGUACGACCCCUGGGCUGCAAGGGUGAGGCGAAAGGCAAUGAAAAGCAAUGCUUCGCUAAUCUGAAAACAACUUGAGGAGAAAGUACAGCUUCCAGACAGCCACACUGGGACCUGCUGCCUAUGGAGAAAACAGGAGAGGUACUUAUUUCUUGCUCUCUGCCCUCUGUUGUAAGUUUGUCUCACAGGGCUCCAACGCCGCACUUUUCUGGGUAUGUCCCUGACCCUCCAGGCUAUUGGCAGAGACAAGAAUAGGCUGAACCUCUGUUUUUCACCCGAGUCUGGGACUGGUGGGAGGAGCCAGGGCCCCUCUGCACUAAGCUAGAGGCUAAGAUGAGAGACGGGGUGCAACUGAGCAGACCGGGGAGGUGCACAAGCUGGGUCUGGCACAGCGCAUCCUUCUAGGACCUGAGCUAUUUAUUCCUAGUGCUGGUGUUCACUGAUUCUUAGGGGAGGAGGAGCCACUCAAUUCAGAGAUCGCACAGAUAGCGCCUCGAUUGUGUAAAUGUAAUUAUCUUCCAUCAAACUGUCUCAAGUUCCUCACUACGCUUACCCAUUGCUUUAACUCUUCCCCUCCCGAGAGUUUUUGAGGUGUAAUUUGAAUCGGAUUCUUUACCGUCUGAGCUACUAGGGAAGCCCAAGAAUACUGGAGUGGGUAGCCUAUCCCUCCUCCAGGACAUCUUCCCGACCCCAAAAUAGAACGGGGGUCUCCUGAAUCGCAGGCGGAUUCUUUACCAGCUGAGCUACCAGGGAAGCCCAAUUUGAAUAUUAAAAAAUCCACCCAUUUGAAGACUACAAAGCCUUAGAUUUUGUCAACUGCACACAUCCUGUAACAUCCAGUCUAUCAAGGCGUGGAAUCAUGCCAUCGCCCCCAAAGUUCCCUCCUGCUCCCCUGCCUCCCAUCCUCUCGCCUCUUUCAUCCCUCCCCAGGCAACGGCUUUCCCCACCAGUUUUGCUUCUUCUAGAAUUUCAGAUAAACGCAAUCGGACAGACUAAGGUCUUUUGGGUUUACCCCCCUACCCCCACCUGUACCAAGCAAUUAUUAUUAUAUUUUUUUUAGAUCCAUCCUUGUUGCUGCCCGUAUUGAUAACUGGGUGCAUUUUUACGCUUCGCUGUUUUGGAGAACUUCCUCUCUGUGCUAAACGUCCGGCACUUUAUCUGCAUUCGCCGUUUGGAACCCUCACAACUACCCUGCUUUACAGCAGAGUAACCCGAGGCUAGGGGCGCCCGGCUGGGGAGCCCGGGGAGGAGGCGCGGGGUAGACACCGGCUAGUCAGAUUAUUACGCUUGCCCCGGUCGGGAGCCCGAUCUGCGGCACCUGCGGCUGGAGAGGGGAACGGUGGGUCUGGCCGUAUACAGCCGCGGACCGGACAAACGCCCCGGGACGGAGGCCUUGCCGGGCCGCCCGCGAGGCCGGAGCCAUGGAGGGUACUCCAUCCUACCGUACCCGGGCCGCCGGCCUCCAGAGCUGCCUGAUCCGGCUACGAGUAGAGGCGGGGCCGCGGUCUGGGGGCGCGCAAGGGCGCGGAGGAGCCGCAUUUCCGCGGACGCGUCACGUUGCUGGGCGCUUCACCACGCGCCGUUUCCCUCCGCGCGGACGGCGCUACUUCCCGAGGGGCCCGAGGACCCCAGUCGUCGGUGAUGGGUGAAUGUAUCUUGCAUGUUGAACCCUGUGACAGAGAACUUGACCCAUGGAGGGCAUACAAAUAAGAUUGCAAGAAGACCUGUCAGAGUUAUGGAAAUGAAAGCAGUUCUGGGACAGAGACUGGUGGAGAGCCCCAGAGCCGACGUAGACCGAGAGGAAGACGAGGAAUACCCGGAGCAGGAAGAGGCUGGCUGCCGCGGCGGCCACAGCGAAGAGCUCCAUUUGCAGCGUAGCCUCCAGCAGCCGGGACUCCGGGGCAUCUGCGAGGCGCUGCGUUGCCAUGGGAACGCGGCGGCGCCCGGGCGGAACCUAGCGUUUAUUACCUGAGAAUGGGGCGCGGGGACGCCGCGGCCCCUCCCCCCGAUCCCGCACCCCGGCGGGUCGACGCGCAUUCUCCCGGUCCCCGUCAGCUUUGCCGGGAAAGCUGAAAUCAGACGCUGCGCGAAGGACUCUUUGCAAAAGCUUCAGCCUGCUGGCCGAGCCGGACGCCCCGGCUGGAGGCCCCUGCGGGAUCGGCCCGCGCAGCCCUUGCUUUGUCGCCACUUCGGCUCGUCGCCCAGGCCCGGGGUGCGACGCGGGGCGCAGAGAGCCCCAUUCGCUUCGCCGACGCCCUAGGACCACGCCAGGAGUAGGAACGCAGCGCGACGUCCCGCAGAUGCAGACAGAACCCCGACGUGGGCAUUUUUGCAGAACCAUCCCAAAGCCAAGAGGCGUUGACUACUACUACUCGCCCCUCAGGCUCUCUAAGAGGAGGGAGGGAGCAUAAAAGACAUUUACCCCGAGUCCUAGUUAUUGGAACAUGUUUCUAACACCCUGGCUGUCCUAGUGGCUAGAAGCUUAUUGCAGGAAGGUAUUGUUUGCGUAAUUAAUUAAUAGAAACAAUAACUGGGCUCCUGAAACCCGCGCUGCCGGGUGCCGGGCGGAGGGCUGGACGGGAGGUGCUGGCCUGGCCGCUUCGGGAAGUACCGGCAGCGGUACCCGCGGGGCGCAUCCAUACCCAGGCUCACUCAACUUCCACGGUUUACUUAAUUAGGAGAAACGCAGAAAGCGGACGAGCUCUAUUUUACACACCGCACUUUCUCCUGUUGGGUCACUGGCGGAGCCCCUGUCUGCGGAGACAUCCGGGCUCCAUGCCUGGGGUUGAAAAAUCCGCCUCCAGGGAGCGAAGGUCUUGUCGCUCCAGGGUAUAAAUAUUAAUAAGCUGAGAGGCCGGGGCAUAAUUAUCUCUUUUUAAUUGCAACUCAACCAAAAAAUCCAGUCUCCUGCCACUCAGGCCCCACGAAGUCGGGAAUGCUAGGUUUUGGUGUCAGGAGACUCCCUCGGUGCAAAGUCGUUCUUUGUAUCCUCCGCCCAACAUAUAAACCAUAUGCUGCGCCUCUCGGCGUGUUAAAAGCACCCAUGCAGAGAUUUGAGCUGAAGGCCCUUCGCUCGCCUCAUCCCCGGCCGCCUAGUGCGCCCUAUUUGUCCCCCAGCUACCAGGGGACUUGGCCUCUAUCCCCCCUCACCCUACCCCCGACCUCCUGCUACUUAAGCAAUAGUGUGAAGAAUUGAAAGAACUGGGGGCAGCUGCUCCAGGUUUGACCCGAAGGCACCUGUGGCGGCCUCGGCCCAGGUCCUGGGCGAGACCUGCGAGCUGCGGAAGGGCUCGGCUCCGCGGCGCCCGGGAGAGCAGUCCCAGCGUCCCGGGCGCUCCCGAUCGUAGUCCCGGCCAUCCGGUGCCCCGCCAGCCCGCUGCGCUCCUCCCUGUAUCCCUAAGAAGCCGCACGCGCGGUGAAGCGGUGCAGGCCUGCUGAGGAGCCGCUGCUCUGUGGCUCAGCUAGCGCUCCCCAGGGUUGGAGGUUGGGGUGAAUGCGUGGACUGGUACAUGUUCC
Long non-coding RNA from Bos taurus (domestic cattle), 5160 nucleotides. The record is from Ensembl. NCBI's taxonomy places the organism in Eukaryota, Metazoa, Chordata, Mammalia, Artiodactyla, Bovidae.